GUUUUAGUAAUUUAAUAAAAAUAAUGACUUUGUAAGUCAAGAUUGAAGUGUGACUUUCUAAAACU
This 65-nucleotide transfer RNA is filed under the name Typhlocyba choui. RNAcentral's name for it is "tRNA-Thr". Lineage: Eukaryota; Metazoa; Arthropoda; Insecta; Hemiptera; Cicadellidae. The record is from RNAcentral.